Molecule: ribosomal RNA, 568 nt
Filed under: uncultured bacterium
Lineage: Bacteria
Description: partial 16S ribosomal RNA
Rfam family: Bacterial small subunit ribosomal RNA
Source: RNAcentral
UGGGGGAUAUUGCACAAUGGAGGAAACUCUGAUGCAGCAACGCCGCGUGAGGGAAGAAGGUCUUCGGAUUGUAAACCUUAGUAGUCAGGGACGAAAGAAAUGACGGUACCUGAAGAGUAAGCUCCGGCUAACUACGUGCCAGCAGCCGCGGUAAUACGUAGGGAGCGAGCGUUGUCCGGAUUUACUGGGUGUAAAGGGUGCGUAGGCGGGACUGCAAGUCAGACGUGAAAUACCGAGGCUUAACUUCGGGGCUGCGUUUGAAACUGUGGUUCUUGAGUGAAGUAGAGGCAGGCGGAAUUCCUAGUGUAGCGGUGAAAUGCGUAGAUAUUAGGAGGAACACCAGUGGCGAAGGCGGCCUGCUGGGCUUUAACUGACGCUGAAGCACGAAAGCAUGGGGAGCAAACAGGAUUAGAUACCCUGGUAGUCCAUGCCGUAAACGAUGAUAGCUAGGUGUGGGGGGACUGCACCCCUUCCGUGCCGCAGCAAACGCAAUAAGCUAUCCAGCCUGGGGAGUACGACCGCAAGGUUAGAAACUUGAAAUGAAUUGACGGGGUCAUAGCUGUUUCCG